GGGUGCUUGGGAGAAGCUGAGUGUGAGCACAUAGUGUGAGUUUGCAGCCCAGGAGGAGUCUGCUGGUGUCUGCAGGGGUGUGCAAGCAUCUGUAGAAGUCUGUCCAGGGAGCUGAGUUGCUUUACCCAAAAUCAAGUUGGAGAGAUGUGUGGAGCCUCAGCCACAAACCCUGACUGUUGGGGGAUGCUUUGAUAGCAGAAUGGAGAGCUGUUGGAAACCCAGUUCCUCCUUGCAAGUGGUUCAGAAUGGGAUUCCCUUUGGAAAAUGAGGACAGAAACAUCUCUCUGAGAACAAAGAUUAUGGAGGGAAAACUGAGGUGACUUGAGAGCAGAGAAGUGAUAUUUUGGGGAAAAAAGCUGAACAGGUCUAUUGGGAAGAAAAUGAAAACUCUGGAGGAACUAUUUGAGGUAAACACGAGGACACAGAUGACAUUUCAUAGGGAAAAAAGUGAGUUAGUCUCUAGGGGAUAAAAAUGAAGAUUGUAGGAGGGAAAAGCUGAGGUCAUUGGGUGGGACAGAGCUGACAUUAUUCAUGGAAAAACUUAAGGUAAUCCAUAGGGGAGACCAUGACCAUUUUGGAGGGAAAUCCUGAGGUAAGAGAGGGAAAGUGGGUAACAUUUUAGAAGAGAGACCUAAGGCACUGUCUGUGAGACAAGAUACUCUUGUGUUACCACAGUUAUAGUCAGAGGCAAGUCCUUUUGCCCAGAGUGCCUUGCCCGUCUCCUGUUCUCCAGCCUGAUGCCAAUCCUCUUUGUGACACCUCUUCCUUCGCUGUUCCAUACCACACCUCUUCCACUAUCAGUGCCAGCUGCUGCCAAAGAAGGAGGACAGACUUAGGCUUCAGUAACACCUCCUUCUUCAUGCCCGAGUUAAACAGGGACCUCCCCAGGGGCACCACCCCUGGUCCAAGUGCCUUUGUGCUCAGCUGGCAGCCUGUGUGGGGUGCCCGCCCCCUUAGCAGGGUGCAGGUGUAGAUGCCCCUAAAAUGGAGAGAAGGAGCCUCCCGAGGCCUCCCUGAGCACCACACAGUCUGGCAAGGCCAAGUCUGACCCUCUUCUCUCCUGCUCCGGGAUAAGGAUGGCUGGUCCAAUGGUGGCUGCCCACAGCUUGCUCCCUCUCCUGGGAAGAGGUGUGUGUAUGCCCCCCCGCCCCUUACCUCAGCGUGCGUGUGCUUGUGUGCCUGAGUGUGCUUGUCGUGUAGGUUGCUGUGAAAAGUGCUGCAGCUUAGCCUAGGCUUCCCAGGAGGGCAGUAACAGGGGAGCCUCCUUGGAGUGCCUGAGCAGAAUGGGAGCUCAACUUGCCCCUCCUUGUUCUCUAGAAACACAGCAAAGGCUGUGCAGUUCAGGGCCUGGAUCUCUGCCUCUGUGGCAGCCUGUCCUGUUGUCAACAUGGCAGUGCAACAGCCCUGUAGUCGGGGCCUGUGUGAUGAGUUGUGGAGCCUUCUGUCCCUGUGUGUCACCAGGAGCAGCCCGAGGUCCCUGUAAGCAGGGCCUAGGAGGCUGUUUUAGGCAGCUAACAGGAGCGCUCCUUCCUAGGCCCUUAGAGGGUUGAGGUGGCUCCCUGGGCUUCUGAAGAGGUGUUCUGUGCUGCAGCCAGGAGGGCUGGCCCGGAAGUUGGGCGCAGGCCAGAGCCCGUGGCUCUGUAGGCAUUUUUGGGAGAGCCGAGGUGAGAGCGGCCGCCCUGUAAGUAGGGCUGUGCAUUGCAGUGCCCGGCGGGAGGUUGAAGGAGGGAACCCCCCUGUAAUCAGGGUGGAUAUGC
Long non-coding RNA from Pogoniulus pusillus (Red-fronted tinkerbird), 1757 nucleotides. RefSeq lists it as uncharacterized. The transcript has 3 exons. The record is from RefSeq and is a predicted model, not a curated record. NCBI's taxonomy places the organism in Eukaryota, Metazoa, Chordata, Aves, Piciformes, Lybiidae.